GCCCGGCUAGCUCAGUUGGUAGAGCAUGAGACUCUUAAUCUCAGGGUCGUGGGUUAGAGCCCUACACUGGGAG
This 73-nucleotide transfer RNA is filed under the name Neotoma lepida (desert woodrat). It matches the Rfam family "tRNA". From Rfam's summary of the family: Transfer RNA (tRNA) molecules are approximately 80 nucleotides in length. Their secondary structure includes four short double-helical elements and three loops (D, anti-codon, and T loops). Lineage: Eukaryota; Metazoa; Chordata; Mammalia; Rodentia; Cricetidae. The record is from Rfam by way of RNAcentral.